AAUUUAUUUAAAAUUAUUAUUGACAUUAGAUAAUAUAAAAUGAUAUACUUGUUAAGUACUGAUUUUUGAGACGUAAAUAAUAUUAGCGCGGGAUGGAGCAGUUCGG
This 106-nucleotide non-coding RNA is filed under the name Staphylococcus haemolyticus JCSC1435. Its description in RNAcentral is "Staphylococcus sRNA 774". It matches the Rfam family "Staphylococcus sRNA 774". From Rfam's summary of the family: Northern blot transcript confirmed in exponentially growing and stationary cells in three cultivation media. Trans-encoded. The record is from Rfam by way of RNAcentral. Lineage: Bacteria; Bacillati; Bacillota; Bacilli; Caryophanales; Staphylococcaceae.